Molecule: ribosomal RNA, 422 nt
Filed under: uncultured bacterium
Lineage: Bacteria
Description: bacterial SSU rRNA
Rfam family: Bacterial small subunit ribosomal RNA
Source: RNAcentral
UGAGGAAUAUUGGUCAAUGGGGGAAACCCUGAACCAGCGACGCCGCGUGUGGGAUGAAUGGGCUUUGCCCUGUAAACCACUGUCGGAGGGGAAGAAAAGCCGGGUUACCCGGCUGGGACUGUACCCUAAAAGGAAGGAUCGGCUAACUACGUGCCAGCAGCCGCGGUAAUACGUAGGAUCCAAGCGUUGUCCGGAAUUACUGGGUGUAAAGGGUGCGCAGGCGGACUUGUGCGUCAGAGGUUAAAUACUACGGCUCAACCGUGGAAAUGCCUUUGAUACGGCAAGUCUUGAGUGCGAGAGAGGAUGGUAGAAUUCCUGGUGUAGCGGUGAAAUGCGUAGAUAUCAGGAGGAAUACCCGUGGCGAAGGCGGCCAUCUGGCUCGCAACUGACGCUCAGGCACGAAAGCGUGGGGAUCAAACAGG